This 429-nucleotide ribosomal RNA is filed under the name Bacteroidota bacterium. RNAcentral describes it as "Bacteroidetes bacterium partial 16S ribosomal RNA". It matches the Rfam family "Bacterial small subunit ribosomal RNA", at positions 355 to 776 of the family's 1533-position model. Lineage: Bacteria; Pseudomonadati; Bacteroidota. The record is from RNAcentral.
UAGGGAAUCUUCCGCAAUGGACGCAAGUCUGACGGAGCAACGCCGCGUGAGUGAAGAAGGAUUUCGGUUCGUAAAACUCUGUUGUUAGAGAAGAACAGCGCAUAGAGUAACUGUUAUGCGUGUGACGGUAUCUAACCAGAAAGCCACGGCUAACUACGUGCCAGCAGCCGCGGUAAUACGUAGGUGGCAAGCGUUGUCCGGAUUUAUUGGGCGUAAAGCGAGCGCAGGCGGUCAAUUAAGUCUGAUGUAAAAGCCCCCGGCUCAACCGGGGAGAGUGAAUGGAAACUGGUUGACUUGAGUGCAGAAGAGGAGAGUGGAAUUCCAUGUGUAGCGGUGAAAUGCGUAGAUAUAUGGAGGAACACCAGUGGCGAAGGCGACUCUCUGGUCUGUAACUGACGCUGAGGCUCGAAAGCGUGGGUAGGAAACAGG